Molecule: ribosomal RNA, 392 nt
Filed under: uncultured bacterium
Lineage: Bacteria
Description: partial 16S ribosomal RNA
Rfam family: Bacterial small subunit ribosomal RNA
Source: RNAcentral
CCUACGGGCGGCAGCAGUGGGGAAUUUUGGACAAUGGGCGCAAGCCUGAUCCAGCUAUUCCGCGUGUGGGAUGAUGGCCUUCGGGUUGUAAACCACUUUUUUAGAGAACGAAAAGUCUGUUGAUAAUACCGAUAGAUGAUGACGGUACUCUAAGAAUAAGCCCCGGCUAACUACGUGCCAGCAGCCGCGAUAAUACGUAGGGUGCGAGCGUUAAUCGGAAUUACUGGUCGUAAAGGGUGUGCAGGCGGUUUUGCAAGAUGGAUGAAAGCCCCGGGCUUAACCGGGGAAAGGCAUAAAUGACUGGAAGACUAGAGUGCGUCAGAGGGGGGUGGAAUUCAAAGUGUAGCAGUGAAAUGCGUAGAUAGUUGGAAGAACACCGAUGGCGAAGGCAG